GCCUCAAUUCUCUCGCAGUCGCAGUCACUACCUCUUCUUUCGCAGUCACGCCCUCUUCGCUGCUGGGAAGGAGCUGUAGCCGCCGACGGGGACAGACCGUGGGUGCCGUUGCCGCUUGUGGAAGGUCUGUAUCUCGGCCCCCAUCACAUCGUUCCUCUUCUCCUCGCGGUCGCCCGAAAGUCUACGUCCAGCUCGUCGCCUCGCAUUAGCCGUCGCGAAGGGCUGCUUGGUCGUCAUCCCUUCGAUCUCUCUCUCUUUCUCAAGUCUCUUUCUCUCGGUCCGAGUUCGGUCGUUUCUGUCGCGAAGGUCUGCUCUCUGUCCGAGGCUCUGAGCUAACUUCCCUUCCUCGUCGCCGUCACUUCCCAUUCCUCCCUCGCCACCGUAUGUGAACUGGUGUGGCCAUAUAUUCAAGGAGAAGAAUCAUGAAAUUGGGAUGAUAAGGGGGCGGAAUGUGAAUUUUGUGAGGGAAAGGGAGCAGGUGGUUGAGUAAACAAAUCAUAAUGUUAGGGUGAUGAGGGACCCAAUUUGAUUUUUGUGAGGGAGAGGUGGAAUGAGAUGAUCUUCCAAGUGCAUCUCAGAAGUAGGGAUUCUUGCAAGUGAUCAAUCAUGGUCUUCUGAAGAUGUUAUGGAUGAGAUGUUCCAUGGAAUCCGUAGUUUCAUGAAUAAGAAGCUGAGCUAAAGAAACCGUUUUUAUUCAAGGGAUAACAACAAUAAAGUUAGGUAUUUCUUCAAUAGUAAGCUGUUCAGAGACUAUGCCAUUUCAUUUGUUGCAAAUCCUGAUCUUCUUAAUCCAGACCAGAAGUGUGUACUCGUAGGUAAUUUCAUUUAGCUUUUAUGCAACUUUUCUUAUACCUGGUUACAUGGCUUUUGAUUGGUCACGGUCAUCACUUGCUGCCAUUGUGCACUUUAGACCCUCUUCUUGUAUAAUUAUAUGUCUUUUGAUCAAACAUUUGUGAUUUGUACAGAGAUAUAGUGUCUAAAUAUUCAAAACAAGUACAGCAUUGUGUAUUAUAAUCUUUGGCCUUAACUACUCUUACUUAAAGAAAUGGAUGUUCCUGAGGCACUUCAUGUUAUGGUCAGUACUACCCACAGUGCCCUGAACCUGAGUUAACCUUGGGACUUACAAAACACACUGAUUUGGAUUUCAUAACAAUACUUCUGCAAGAUCAAAUUGGAGCUCUUCAAGUUAUUCAUCAAAAUCAAUGGGUUGGUAUUCCUCUAGUGCAAGGAAGCUCUUGUUGUAAAUAUUAUAUUCUACUCGUGAACUAAUGUAUUUAGUUAUAGAGUAUUAAGAUACAUUGAUUUAUUUAGGAAUGGUUAGAGAAUGUAUAUUGAUUAUAGAAAAUGUAAUAGUUGUAUUAUAGAAAAUCUAAACUUAAUAGUUUCCUA
Molecule: long non-coding RNA, 1389 nt
Organism: Arachis duranensis
Lineage: Eukaryota; Viridiplantae; Streptophyta; Magnoliopsida; Fabales; Fabaceae
Exons: 2
Source: RefSeq, a predicted model, not a curated record